CAUUUGGCAAGUGACACCUGAGAGAUGGUUAAAGGAGGUGCUUGACACGUCUCCCUUCCACAGAAGAGAGCUGACGCGAAGAGUUAAUGGCACUAUUCUGACUGCAGAGGUAGAGGAAGAAGGCUGAAGAGUCACCGGGAAGUGGUGGGGUGCAUUUAGAGAGAGAAAGCCCCGGCUAGAGGCAGGGAGAGGAGGGUAAGUCACCCUGCCUCUCUCAUACUUACGCCACCUUGGUGCCAUGAUGAACUUCCUUUUACAAGGAAAAGGUAGGCUGGAGACUCCCAACAGGGCCCCUUGCCACAGCAGGUGGCUGUGCAGGGGACUCACACAGGCACUGAGAAGACAGUUUGGAAAGUGACCAGAAGUGCACAUUCUGUAUUGCCACAGAGCAAGAGCCCAGAAGUACAAGUCCUAGCCCCCUGUGACACGGUUCUUGAGAUUGCAACCACUGCUACAGUGCAUUAAGCCCAGAGGGUCAUGGCCACAGUGCAACUCCAUUCUUGAGACUUUAUUCCACUAAGCUUAGAUGGGUGGCUGGGUACCAUGUGGGUAGAUGAGUUUGCAUCCCCAGGGAAAUGGUGCCUCACCCAAAGAGAAAACUGACACAUAGGCCUGUGUGUCACUACACCUGGCUUGACGGUCAGCCAGAUAUUAUCUCCACCUCCUCAGACUCUUCCUCACACCUGCUGGCCUGCACAGGAGCACUGGCACGUACCCAAACCAAGCCUGCCACUCAUCUAACCUCACUUCCUGGUGAGCAUUCUACAACACCACACUGGGCUGCGGUGACCAAAAACCAACCAGCAUUAGCCUUUCUAAGACAUAAUCACCUUAAAACUAACUGACUAUGGAUUCCAGUGAAAUUCCAGGAGCGACUUGACUGUAAUUCUCUAGAGACACACUCCAGGCAACAAGCGUCCCAGCCUAGAGGUGCAAAAGACCUGCCCGUGUGAGGAAGUACGAAGUCUACACCAGGCAGAGGCAUUUCCUGCGGGGAUGAGCCAACAGGCCGGUAGACCACUGGAGGGGACAGGCGAGCUUUCAUCUGAGGACUACAGGAGGGUGGUGGUACCACCAUCUUAUUGUCACCCACUUCAGAGCUCACUAAGCUUUCCCCAGCCCAGAGGAGAAGGAUUCCUCCUUCCCAGAGCUGUGACAGGGUCAGGGAGAAGAGCUGUGAGGGUCAAGAGAGGUUUUUGUCUUGGAUCCUACAUUGCAAAGGACAUCUGAUGGAACUUUUGAUGUCAUCUCCACAUAAAAGAGGAAAAAUAAUCCUUUGAUUUUAUGCUAAAAACAUUAAUUUACUGCUGAGGAUUUAGCUCAGUGGCUUAAGUGCCUGCCUGGCAAGCGCAAGGUCAUGAAUUCAAUCCCCAGCACCAAAAAAAAAAAAAAAAAAAAAAACCCAAAACAUUAAAUUACUAAAACUUUCAUUUAUUAUGUGCUCAAUCUGUGAAAUGCUCUGGGCAUUUCCUCAUAUUUUAACACUUCAGGAAGCUCAAAAAAAAAAGAGGUAGCUGAACCUACUCGGAGUCUUGCAGUCUCUAGGCACCCACCUCUUCACCUGGCCGUAGGAUGGAGCUCCUCGUCCUUCACAUUGCAGACUUGCUUAUUUUGUCCCUUGCCCACAAGAGAGAGAUGUUGAUGCCCUCCACAUCUCACGUUCUUAUAUCGUCAUACCUUGCCUCUUGCAUGUGUGGUAACCAUUGUGUUUGGACUUCUGAGUUAUAUAAUGGUAUUAAAACCGUUCUCCUUGA
This is a long non-coding RNA of Cavia porcellus (domestic guinea pig), 1754 nucleotides long. RefSeq lists it as uncharacterized. The transcript has 2 exons. The record is from RefSeq and is a predicted model, not a curated record. NCBI's taxonomy places the organism in Eukaryota, Metazoa, Chordata, Mammalia, Rodentia, Caviidae.